Molecule: long non-coding RNA, 1874 nt
Organism: Passer domesticus (house sparrow)
Lineage: Eukaryota; Metazoa; Chordata; Aves; Passeriformes; Passeridae
Exons: 3
Source: RefSeq, a predicted model, not a curated record
GGAGCUGAGCUACACACAGCUGGUUCUCAUGUUCCUCUUGUGGGAUGAGGGAGAGAUCAGAAAGGUAAAAGUGAGAAAACUCAUGGGUGGAGAUAAAGACAUUUUAACAGAGCACUGCUGUGGAGUUACAGAGUUAAAGCAGACAGCUCAGAGUGGAAGAGAGUUGGAGUUGGAGAGCUGGAGGUGGUAUUUCAAGAAAUCACAGAGGACUGAGCUCAGCCAGCAGCUGCAGAGCCCCUUUAUUUGGAUGAACUAGUUUAUAGGCAUUGAGUACUGCUUGCUAUAAAGGAAGAACUUUUCAGUGUCUCAUGCUCUGCCAGUGAAGAAGUGCAGAUGAAGCCAGUGUGGAACACAGCCAGUACCAGAAAAAGCCAAAGGGCUGUUACUUACCACAGAACGUCAUGUUCAGUAUAUAAACUGGGGGGAGCUGGCCAGGAAAAGCCAAUCACUGUUCAGGACAGGCUGGGCAUUGUCCAGAAGGUGGUAAGAAAUUCUAUUGUGCGUCACUUAUUUUGCUUCAUGUUUCUUUCUCUCUCUCUCUCUCUCUCUCUCUCUCCCUUUUUGCUUUUUUAUUUUCUUUGUUGUUGUUGUUGUUGUUGUUUUUGGGUUUGUUUUUGUUUGUUUUUUAACAGCUCUUAGCUAAGCACACAGGUUUUACUUUUUUCCUAUUGUCCUCCCCAUCCCACUAGGGUAGGGUAGUGAGCAAGCAACUUCUUGGUAUUUAGUUGACUGAUAGAGUUGAGUCAUGAACAUAUUUACUUUAUAGUAUACUAAUGCAUUUAAGAAUGAUAUUAAAUUUAAGAUUGUGAGCAAUCCUAGUCAUAAAGAAACGAGGUGAACCACUAAUAUGGUGCAUUUCAGAAACUAAUGGAUAUUAAUGGCUGAACUACUCACCCCAUGGUCUCUUCAGUAAAAGAAAAGAACUUGGUACUGCUGGCAUGCACUUCAACUAAGCAAAAGGAGAGGUCUGAAAUGGAUCUAAAAUUUCCAGUCACAAUAAAAGAUGAGCUCAGCUGUUAGCAUCUAAGAGUAAAUAUCCAGGGCAUAAUACAGUUUAAAACUCAAACACAUUUAGAUUUCUAUGUUAAAGUGUAUAAUUAUGUAUGAGCUGUCAAGGCUUACAUCAUAAACAAUGGAGAUAUAGUAAAUACAAUUGGUGGAUCCAAGAGCUAAUUAGUAAUAUGAUGUUUGUUUUAGGAUCUUUUUCAUAGAGAGCCAAACUGUUCUCCACAGCCUAUUGACUAAGCCUUUACUGUCUGAUAUGAAAGCUCAGAUAUGACUACUCACUGCCACACAGGUAGUUACAUACUCAGUACUUUAUCUCAGAUUGUAUCUUGCACCUUGCCAAAAGGUUCAGUUUCCUGAAGAUGGAGGUUUCAUGUCAUUAAAGCACCCUCAAAUCCAGGAAGAUACCUAGUGGGAUCUCAAAUGACACUAGACAUUUGGGUUUAGGCAAACUCUUAACUACAUGAAAAAUCUCUGUUUAUUAUUGAUGUCUGUAUAUUGUUGGACAAAGACUUCUAAAAUCAAAUAGUAUGAUGAGAAAUCUAAGUCUCAGUGGGUCUAGCCCAGACUAUGGGCUGUGGGAAGGGUUGAGGUGCAUAUCUCAGAACUAACUGUUCAGCAUUAUGAAAAUGGUUUUGUGUGUUUAUCUCUCUAUAUAUAUAUAUACAAAAUAAAUGGUGACUAUGCUUCUGCUGUCUGUAUACAAGAGACUGAAGAAAAUGAGUAACUAAAUUAAAGCUGUGUCAGGCAGCCACACACACAAAACCUAGCAUAUUAGGCUUUUUUUUUCCUCGUGUAUAUCACAGCAUAUCAUUUCCAUAUUUGAAAUGGGUUCGUAUCUCAUCAACCAAGUCAAACAUAUUUUAGCU